UGGGUUUUUUCUACCCCUGCUGAUGGGCCUC
Molecule: non-coding RNA, 31 nt
Filed under: Mus musculus (house mouse)
Lineage: Eukaryota; Metazoa; Chordata; Mammalia; Rodentia; Muridae
Source: RNAcentral